Long non-coding RNA from Triticum aestivum (bread wheat), 1338 nucleotides. RefSeq lists it as uncharacterized. The transcript has 2 exons. The record is from RefSeq and is a predicted model, not a curated record. Lineage: Eukaryota; Viridiplantae; Streptophyta; Magnoliopsida; Poales; Poaceae.
CCUCCCCCAGACCAUCCACCUUCUUCCCCCCGGUCAAAUCCCGACCCCGACUCCACCACCAGCGCCCUCCCCCCCACUACCUUCCACGGCGGUGCGCCCCAACCCACUCCAACCGCCGGCAGGACCCCACCCACCUACCAUGGCCGGUGCGACCCCAACCCCCUCCCAUGGCCGCGCGCACCCAUCUACCUCCCAUGGCCAGCGCCCCCUCCUACCGCCGGCUGCCACCGACGACGGAUCCACGACCCUCACCACCGGAUCCGCCAUCGUCUGGAUCCACAUGACCGCGUCCCAACCUUCGACGGGGCCCUGUCGAUGCUCUUACCGACCAUGGACCUGUGCCUCCACCUCCCCCGGUGCGGCCACAACCACCGGAUCCAGCCGCCACCGGCCCCCAAUGCGACCUCACCCGCCCGAUCCGGCCGCCACCGCCCCCCUACGACCACUACCGGAGCUACUAUGCGCGACAUUUGGUUGCCCGCAAUCGCGGAUCCCUGCCGUCGCACCGGCGGAUGACUCAGGUGAAAAUUGCAUUAGUGCAGCCCACUCCGUCUGUUGUUUUUUUGGGCUCAAAUGCAGGUCACUACGUCCACAUCGUUGGUGCUUCGAGGGUCGACCUGCAGUUAGCCCCUACCCUCCGUGUCCUAGCGGCCACCACAUGCGGGCGACUGCACCCAUCGUCAGCACGAGAAGGGGUCCUCCGACGAGUGCGCGUGCAGUACCCUUUAGGGGUGAGGCACUUGCUUUUUGGCUGUCGACACCUCCAUCACCCAGUUUUGGCUGUCGAUGGAGACCAUCGGUGAAGUUUGCCACCUCCCCGCCUUCUACUGCCGCGCUGAGUGGUCAUGCAGAUCCUGCAGGGCUCCAGCCCGGCGUGCACAGCUCGUGCGCACACAUGAUCCGGUUCAGUGCUAGGGCACUCGCAGUCUUUUUUGCGUGCAGCUGCAGUCCGUUUGGACUUCGUGUGUAGUGAAGUUCGGGCGAGCCAUGAUGACAGAAAAGGAAGGAAAUUAAGUGGGUCGGAAAGGGAACAGAAUUAAAACCCCACUUGCCGAGGAGACAACAAUCCGCAAGCAUCAUGCGCAUGCAGUUCCUUUUGUAUAUGCUUACAAUGCGGUGUGUGUAUGUGUGCUGUACACCCCCAUCGCUUAUUUUGUGUGGCAGCUCAUUAGACCUCUGUAUGAAGUGCGUCGUCUGUCUCGAGUACAUUAACAUUUGCAGUGCGUUUGCUCCCCGGAUGUGGUUCACUUUUGAGAGUGAUGUUGUUCACUUGCGCCCACCAUGAAAGUGCAAAAAAAUAGCGCAACAACAAAGAUUGUAAUGAGGUUCACUUCGAUA